UACGUAGGUGGCAAGCGUUGUCCGGAAUUAUUGGGCGUAAAGCGCGCGCAGGCGGUCCUUUAAGUUUGAUGUGAAAUCUCGCGGCUCAACCGCGAGCGGCCAUUGGAAACUGGGGGACUUGAGUGCAGAAGAGGAAAGCGGAAUUCCACGUGUAGCGGUGAAAUGCGUAGAGAUGUGGAGGAACACCAGUGGCGAAGGCGGCUUUCUGGUCUGUAACUGACGCUGAGGCGCGAAAGCGUGGGGAGCAAACAGG
This 253-nucleotide ribosomal RNA is filed under the name uncultured bacterium. RNAcentral describes it as "partial 16S ribosomal RNA". It matches the Rfam family "Bacterial small subunit ribosomal RNA", at positions 524 to 776 of the family's 1533-position model. The record is from RNAcentral.